Molecule: long non-coding RNA, 258 nt
Filed under: Gossypium raimondii (Peruvian cotton)
Lineage: Eukaryota; Viridiplantae; Streptophyta; Magnoliopsida; Malvales; Malvaceae
Description: long non-coding RNA (GRAI_LNC004740)
Source: RNAcentral
CCAAAGGCACGAUUAAACAAUAAAACCAACAACAGAAUCGAAGAAGAAGAACGAAUUAACUAUUUUACCGAAAAAUGGAAAAAAAAGCUAGAAACCACAAAAAAAUUGAAGAAAACGUCAGAGGGAAAAUUUAGGGAGAAGAGAGAAAAAUUUGAAAAAUAAAAUAAAAUCACAACCUCUCACUAACAACUCAACCUCAACUAACUCAAACUUUCAAGAUCACUCAAACUCUCUUAGCCAACCGAAAUAAAAAUUAAC